Trichechus manatus latirostris (Florida manatee) is the source of this 2925-nucleotide long non-coding RNA. RefSeq lists it as uncharacterized. NCBI's taxonomy places the organism in Eukaryota, Metazoa, Chordata, Mammalia, Sirenia, Trichechidae. The transcript has 3 exons. The record is from RefSeq and is a predicted model, not a curated record.
UUUCUACACAGACUGGUUCCUCCUGACAUGUCUAAUAUUAGCGUCAAGGGACUGGUCUUCUAUUCUGCAGAUCCUGUUUUCUGCUGUUUCAAUUCUACUCCUACGAAUUUCCAUUUGCAGAAACUGGUUUGCAGACUAAUCACAGGCUACCUUAAACUGUAGAUCUCAGUUGGAGAAUCAAACACAAAACUGAAAACUUCUGCUCUUCUCCACAUUUUGUCCACUAUGACCUUGCCAUUCAAAACAAUAUGGUUUACUGGAAGGUUUCAAUUUCUUGGGAUCCAGUAGGGGAUUCACUACAUUCUAUGUAUUGGAGUUUCUCAUGAUUGAACUCAAACCAAUUUCAAAGCAAUUCAUGACGCAGCCUCCGUUUAAUAUGACCUAUGAAACUUGUAUGUUUCUUUUCACUAGAGAGAACAGAAAUUCACACUUUAGAGAUGUGCCAGAUUCAAACAUUUUUAUUUCUAAGAAGUUGUAACUUCUGAGAACAAACACCUCUACAAUAUUUAGUAGGUAUUCAACACACAAGAUCUUUCUUAGAUUUCACUUAAAUAAAUCUGCUAUGCCAGGUACAUAAAAAAACACAACUUUGAUGGUCACUGCUAUCUCCUGUAUUGGUAUUACCUUGGUUAUGGCUCUUUUAAGUAAUUAAAAGCACAAUUAUACAAGAAUGUGUUGCUAUCUUCAUCCUGCCAAAUCUUAAUGUGAUGACUAAUAGAGGAUUAGCACAAUAAACUGUAGUGCAUCCACACCAUGGAAUACUUUGCAAAAGGUAAGAAGAAAGGAAGUUCUUUAUGUACUGAUAUGAAAAAAUUUCCAUUACAUAGUGCCUCAAAUAAGAUGCAAAAAAGCAUAUAUGUGCUACCUUUGUCUAAAAAGGAAGUGAAAAUAAUACAUAUUUGUAUUUCCUUGUAUUUGCAUAAAGAAAUUCUGGAAAGAUACACAACAACGUAAAAACAGUGCAACAUAGGAAGAGGUGUAGGAAGGAACUGAGUGGGUGGGGGACCAAUAGAGCCUUUUCACUGUCUCUAUGUAACUUCUUAUAUUUGUUAUUUAUUUUAAUCAUGUGCAAUGUAUUAGGUAUCGAAAAAUAAUCUAACUGGCUUUGAAUCUCUUCACCUGAAAUGAGAUGUAUAAGUUAAUAUCAACGCAAAAACAAAAAAUCUUUAUUUUUAGUUAAAAUGUUAUGCUGAAAAUCAACGUACUAAUAAAAGACAAACACACACAAAAAAAGGGAGUAUGGGAUAAAAGGCAGCUAAAUAUGUCCUAAAAGGAUUUCUGGUGACCCUCUCAGUACCCUAUUAUAUCAUAAACCAUUACAAUAAUUUAUACUCAGCAUACCAAGCUAGGUGCUGCAUGACAUUUUCCUUAUCCUCAAAGGUUUUACAACCUAAUUGCCAAAAUAAGAAAAAUACUAUUUAUUUUUUAAAUAGUUAAAAAAAAAGUAAACAAUAAUUUAAGGCAGAAUAUGAUAAAUGAGUGGUACAAACAAUACCACACAUGAUUCAAAGAAAGGAGUAUCUGUGCCUCAGAUAAACGAAGACCCAAAGAGGAAGCAAGAAUUAGAUAAGUGGAAAGAAAGAGAGAACAGCAUUCUGUGAAAGUGGAAUUAUUAUAACAAAGAUGCUAUGGAGGGAAAAGAAACACAAAGUAAACAAGAUACUGACUAGACUGGUUUGAAUGGAACAGGAGGCUGGUAGGGGUGACAGCAAGAGGAGAGGAUGAAGUCUAAUAACUAAUAAUACUUGAUACUUGUACAAUAUUUCACUUAUAUUAUCUCACUUGGUCAGCAAAUUAAUUGUUAGAAAGGAUAGACUGCAGAAGGUUCUGAGCAUCAUGCUAUAAAUAUCUACUGACAGUAUCUAAUUAUCUAAAAUGGAAUUAUUCCAUCAUUAGAGGAUAAAGAAACUACAGGCAGGUAGACUAGUUAAGAAAGUUCUGAUAUAAGCUAAUCAGGACCCAGGCUGAAGUAACAGCAGUGGAAAUAAACAGGAAGGAAGAAACUUAUACGACUAGGGUGAUAAGGUGUAGAAGUAAAUAAAAUGGCUACCAGGGCUUAGACCUCAGUUACUAGGAGAAAGAUGAUAUAAUUGAGAGAAAUACGUUAAGUCCAGUUUUUAGAUCCUCUAUCACUCAUCCCAAGAAAUGUUUUCUAAGUCAGUCAUCACCCUAGUCAAGUGAGACAUGUUUCCCUACCAUUACUCCCAGUGUCCACCAACCUCAAAAAGACAGCUAACAGGGACAGGGAGUAGUAGGGGAUGGCUGCUUAAUGGGUACAAGGUCUCUUUUGGGGGUGAGGAAAAUGUUUUACAACCAGACAGAGGCCAUGGUUGCACAACAUUGUGAGUAUACUAAAUGCUAUUUAAUUAUACACUUUAGAAUAGUUAAUUUUAGGUUUUGUGAAUUUUACAACAUUAAUUUUUUUAAAAAGCUGCUGAAACUAAAGACCACAAUGCCUUUUAUCCUUUAUUAAAGGUCGAUGCCCAGAAUGCCUUGUAUAUUUUGCCCAUUCACUCUCACUAUAACUCUCCACCACCUAAAUCAUUCCAUUGUAUCUGACAUUGUCUUCACCAAUAAAAAGCAAAUUGUAUUUUCCAAUCUUUCUCUGAAUUCUAUCUCCUCGCUUUAAAGAAAAGUGAGCUCUACCCUGCGUGUAAUACAUCCUUGCAACAUGUUUCUGUGUUUUGUUAUUGUUUUUCUCUUUACACUCUAGAUGGAAGGAAUACAGAGUCACUGUACCAAAAAGAGCUGGUCAACUUUUGCCAUUUCAAGAGCAUAUGAUGAUGAAUUGAUGCUACUGAAGGAAAAGUCCAAGCUGCAGUGCAGGCAUUGGUGAAAAACAAGGAUCCAGGAAUUGACGGAAUACCAACUGAGAUGUUUCAUCUCAAGAUGUAGCGCUAGAAGUGCUUACUCAUCUAUGCCAAG